GACGAACGCUGGCGGCGUGCCUAAUACAUGCAAGUAGAACGCUGAAGGAGGAGCUUGCUUCUCUGGAUGAGUUGCGAACGGGUGAGUAACGCGUAGGUAACCUGCCUGGUAGCGGGGGAUAACUAUUGGAAACGAUAGCUAAUACCGCAUAAUAGUAGAUGUCGCAUGACAUUUGCUUAAAAGGUGCAAUUGCAUCACUACCAGAUGGACCUGCGUUGUAUUAGCUAGUUGUUGUGGUAACGGCUCACCAAGGCAACGAUACAUAGCGGACGUGAGAGGGGGGUCAGCCACACUGGGACUGUGACACGGCCCAUAGGCACACGGGAAGGAGCAGUAGGGAAACUGCGGGAAUGGACGGAAGACAGAGCACGCAACGCCGAGUGAGGGAAGAGGAUUGUCGGGUCGGAAAGCUCUGUUGUAAGGUUAGAAAGAGUGUGAGAGUGGAAAGUUCACUCUGUGACGGUAACUGACCAGAAAGGAACGGCUAACUACGUG
RNAcentral lists this ribosomal RNA (495 nucleotides) under uncultured bacterium. RNAcentral describes it as "partial 16S ribosomal RNA". It matches the Rfam family "Bacterial small subunit ribosomal RNA", at positions 28 to 507 of the family's 1533-position model. The record is from RNAcentral.